GACGAACGCUGGCGGCGCGCUUAACACAUGCAAGUCGAACGGAAAGGCCUGCUUUCCCUUGUGGAUUGCGGGUACUCGAGUGGCGAACGGGUGAGUAACACGUGAGUGAUCUGCCCCCAACUUGGGUAUAAGCCUGGGAAACUGGGUCUAAUUCCCGAUAGGACUGCAGGGUGGUGCCUGUGGUGGAAAACGAUUUUCUAGUGGUUGGGGAUGAGCUCGCGGCCUAUCAGCUUGUUGGUGGGGUAAUGGCCUACCAAGGCGGCGACGGGUAGCCGGCCUGGGAGGGUGGACGGCGACAUUGGGACUGAGAGACGGCCCAGACUCCUACGGGAGGCAGCAGUGGGGAAUAGUGCACAAUGGGCGGAAGCCUGAUGCAGCGACGCCGCGUGGGGGAUGACGGCCUUCGGGUUGUAAACUCCUUUCGACCGCGAGGAAGCCACCUGGUUGGAAGGGUGGUGACGGUAGUGGUAGAAGAAGCACCGGCUAACUACGUG
Molecule: ribosomal RNA, 494 nt
Filed under: uncultured bacterium
Lineage: Bacteria
Description: partial 16S ribosomal RNA
Rfam family: Bacterial small subunit ribosomal RNA
Source: RNAcentral